GAAAUGCUCAAGAUGCAUCCAGUAACGGAGUUGUAUGACGUAUGUCAAAAGAAGCAUUUGAAAGUGAAAUUCGUGGAUUUGUGGAGAGAAAGCAUGGCUUUCAAUGUGUUCAUAGAUGAUCAGCUCGUGGGAAGAGGAACCUAUGGCCUCAAGAAAGAAAUUGCUCAUAAUAGAGCAGCCAAAGAUGCACUAGACAACAUUGGAAGAAUAUUGGGCGAGAAAGACAGUACAG
RNAcentral lists this unclassified non-coding RNA (232 nucleotides) under Hevea brasiliensis (rubber tree). Lineage: Eukaryota; Viridiplantae; Streptophyta; Magnoliopsida; Malpighiales; Euphorbiaceae. The record is from RNAcentral.